AAUCGCUUCUUUCGUUUUUUCGAGUAGAGGCGUGGUGGGAUGAAUCAUAAUAACUUAACCGAAUCGUAUGGCCAACAUUAGGCCGACAAUAAAUCAUUCAAAUUUCUGCCCUAUCAACUUUCGAUGGUAGGGUAGUGGCCUACCAUGGUGUUGACGGGUGACGGAUAAUUAGGGUUCGAUUCCGGAGAGGGAGCCUGAGAAACGGCUACCACAUCGUAGGAAGGCAGCAGGCGCGCAAAUUACCCAAUCCUGAUUCAGGGAGGUAGCGACAAGAAAUAACGAUAGUGGGCUCGUUCGAGUCCGCGCAUCGGAAUGAGGAUAAUUUACACCCCUUCUCGAGGAUCCAUCGGAGGGCAAGUCUGGUGCCAGCAGCCGCGGUAAUUCCAGCUCCAAUAGCGUAUACUAAAGUUGUUGCAGUUAAAAAGCUCGUAGUCGAAUGUAGAUUGUACAGGUGUGCGGACAUUUAGGUGUAUAACUUAAGUCGUCUGUACGCCACAAUCACCC
RNAcentral lists this ribosomal RNA (504 nucleotides) under uncultured Teleaulax. Its description in RNAcentral is "bacterial SSU rRNA". It matches the Rfam family "Eukaryotic small subunit ribosomal RNA", at positions 215 to 705 of the family's 1831-position model. Lineage: Eukaryota; Cryptophyceae; Pyrenomonadales; Geminigeraceae. The record is from RNAcentral.